AUUGGCUGACGAGUCCCAAAUAGGACGAAAUGCUCAUCCUGGAU
This 44-nucleotide non-coding RNA is filed under the name Trichobilharzia regenti. Lineage: Eukaryota; Metazoa; Platyhelminthes; Trematoda; Strigeidida; Schistosomatidae. The record is from RNAcentral.